GACGAACGCUGGCGGCGUGCUUAACACAUGCAAGUCACGGGGGCUGGCGCAAGCCAGUAACCGGCGAACGGGUGCGUAACACGUGAGCAACCUGCCGAGAUGAGGGGGAUAGCCGGCCCAACGGCCGGGUAAUACCGCAUACGAUCUCUUAGAGGAGUCUCUAGGGGAGGAAACCUCCGGGGCAUUUCGAGGGGCUCGCGGCCUAUCAGCUAGUUGGUGCGGUAACGGCGCACCAAGGCGACGACGGGUAGCUGGUCUGAGAGGAUGGCCAGCCACAUUGGGACUGAGAGACGGCCCAGACUCCUACGGGAGGCAGCAGUGGGGAAUCUUGCGCAAUGGCCGAAAGGCUGACGCAGCGACGCCGCGUGGGGAUGAAGCAUUUCGGUGUGUAAACCCCUGUUCGCCCGGGACGAAUCCUGGUUUUCGAGCCAGUUGACGGUACCGGGU
This 447-nucleotide ribosomal RNA is filed under the name uncultured bacterium. Its description in RNAcentral is "bacterial SSU rRNA". It matches the Rfam family "Bacterial small subunit ribosomal RNA", at positions 28 to 483 of the family's 1533-position model. The record is from RNAcentral.